RNAcentral lists this ribosomal RNA (318 nucleotides) under Halotalea alkalilenta. RNAcentral describes it as "bacterial SSU rRNA". It matches the Rfam family "Bacterial small subunit ribosomal RNA", at positions 32 to 347 of the family's 1533-position model. The record is from RNAcentral. Lineage: Bacteria; Pseudomonadati; Pseudomonadota; Gammaproteobacteria; Oceanospirillales; Halomonadaceae.
CAACGCUGGCGGCAGGCCUAACACAUGCAAGUCGAGCGGCAGCACGGGGAGCUUGCUCCCUGGUGGCGAGCGGCGGACGGGUGAGUAAUGCAUGGGAAUCUGCCCGGUAGAGGGGGAUAACGUGUGGAAACGCACGCUAAUACCGCAUACGUCCUACGGGAGAAAGGAGGGGAUCUUCGGACCUUCCGCUAUCGGAUGAGCCCAUGUCGGAUUAGCUAGUUGGUAGGGUAAAGGCCUACCAAGGCAACGAUCCGUAGCUGGUCUGAGAGGAUGAUCAGCCACACUGGGACUGAGACACGGCCCAGACUCCUACGGGAG